Molecule: transfer RNA, 71 nt
Filed under: Candidatus Tremblaya phenacola PAVE
Lineage: Bacteria; Pseudomonadati; Pseudomonadota; Betaproteobacteria
Description: tRNA-Thr (CGT) (tRNA-Thr-CGT-1-1)
Rfam family: tRNA
About the family: Transfer RNA (tRNA) molecules are approximately 80 nucleotides in length. Their secondary structure includes four short double-helical elements and three loops (D, anti-codon, and T loops). Further hydrogen bonds mediate the characteristic L-shaped molecular structure. tRNAs have two regions of fundamental functional importance: the anti-codon, which is responsible for specific mRNA codon recognition, and the 3' end, to which the tRNAs corresponding amino acid is attached (by aminoacyl-tRNA synthetases). tRNAs cope with the degeneracy of the genetic code in two manners: having more than one tRNA (with a specific anti-codon) for a particular amino acid; and 'wobble' base-pairing, i.e. permitting non-standard base-pairing at the 3rd anti-codon position.
Source: RNAcentral
GCCGCUUUAGCUCAACGGCAGAGCCUUUCAUUCGUAAUGAGAUGAUGCCAGUUCAAUUCUGGCAAGCGGCA